CGCAGCCACAGAACCGGAAGUGAGGGGCGGAGUUAUUGACAACGAGAGAGCACGAGACAUAUAAGGAUUCAGAGAGUUGACACAUUACCUGAGCUGCAGCAGUGCAACAAGUGUUACAGCAAUUACCAGCAAUUUUCUGCUUGACCAGCAUGUUUAAGCCAGCCAAACUGGUCAAAUUAAUAAGUCAUCUUCAAAUCCACUUCAACAUGCAGUUGUCUGUGGAGUACAUCUUGUCUUGGGAGCACCCUUUGAUUUUACAUCUUGUGACAUUCCAAUCAUACGGAGAUGGUGGACUCCAGAUGGUUUUCUCUGAAAGUGCAGAAACCCUACAAGAGGCCCUUCCAAUUGGAUAACAGGCUACGCUUGUGAGGUAUGUCUCAAAUAUAUCUAUCUA
This is a long non-coding RNA of Sinocyclocheilus rhinocerous, 394 nucleotides long. RefSeq lists it as uncharacterized. The transcript is spliced from 5 exons. The record is from RefSeq and is a predicted model, not a curated record. Lineage: Eukaryota; Metazoa; Chordata; Actinopteri; Cypriniformes; Cyprinidae.